GGAAGUGUGCCCGAACACCCAAGGGUCACUAUGAUAAAGUGAACACAGAGGUACACCAAUCCUCUCACUUCCU
RNAcentral lists this transfer RNA (73 nucleotides) under Milvago chimango. RNAcentral's name for it is "tRNA-Ile". The record is from RNAcentral. Lineage: Eukaryota; Metazoa; Chordata; Aves; Falconiformes; Falconidae.